UCAAAUGCUAUAUAAAAUCUAUUUAUCAUUUUUUCUUCGAACUCAUGAACAUUCAAAGGUCCAUAUUAGUUGCACGAGAAUAGGAUGCUCAGCACGGUUUGAUUAUGGUAUAUUAGUAAGAUUCAAAGUUAUGUAUUGAACUCGUGAUGAAGAUACACUUUGCAUGCAGCCCCAGGUGGAAGGAAGAAUAUAGACUUGUAGAGUAUAGACUAGCACGUUGCUACAUGUAUGGAUCCCAUGCGUUGACUUUGACAAAACUUUGUUGAAUUAUUCUAUAUCUCUUGAUCUUGAAGAGCCUAUUGGUCCCCAAAUUCACUGAAAUGCUGUUACUAUUUUAUUAAUUGUA
Molecule: long non-coding RNA, 346 nt
Filed under: Brassica rapa (field mustard)
Lineage: Eukaryota; Viridiplantae; Streptophyta; Magnoliopsida; Brassicales; Brassicaceae
Description: long non-coding RNA (BRAP_LNC007933)
Source: RNAcentral